RNAcentral lists this non-coding RNA (73 nucleotides) under Percolomonas cosmopolitus. Lineage: Eukaryota; Heterolobosea; Eutetramitea; Percolomonadida; Percolomonadidae. The record is from RNAcentral.
AAGAAAAAAAAAUAUCAUUCAUUUUAUUGUAUUUUAUUCCAAUCGUGUAAAUUUUAUUAAUUUUUCAGAAUAA